AGCAUGUGGUUUAAUUCGAAGCAACGCGAAGAACCUUACCAGGUCUUGACAUCCCGAUGCUAUUUCUAGAGAUAGAAAGUUACUUCGGUACAUCGGUGACAGGUGGUGCAUGGUUGUCGUCAGCUCGUGUCGUGAGAUGUUGGGUUAAGUCCCGCAACGAGCGCAACCCCCGCCGUUAGUUGCCAGCGGUUCGGCCGGGCACUCUAACGGGGACUGCCCGCGAAAGCGGGAGGAAGGAGGGGACGACGUCUGGUCAGCAUGGCCCUUACGGCCUGGGCGACACACGUGCUACAAUGCCCACUACAAAGCGAUGCCACCCGGCAACGGGGAGCUAAUCGCAAAAAGGUGGGCCCAGUUCGGAUUGGGGUCUGCAACCCGACCCCAUGAAGCCGGAAUCGCUAGUAAUCGCGGAUCAGCCAUGCCGCGGUGAAUACGUUCCCGGGCCUU
RNAcentral lists this ribosomal RNA (447 nucleotides) under uncultured Thermus sp. RNAcentral's name for it is "bacterial SSU rRNA". It matches the Rfam family "Bacterial small subunit ribosomal RNA", at positions 936 to 1382 of the family's 1533-position model. The record is from RNAcentral. Lineage: Bacteria; Thermotogati; Deinococcota; Deinococci; Thermales; Thermaceae.